UGGCGGACGGGUGAGUAAUGUCUGGGAAACUGCCUGAUGGAGGGGGAUAACUACUGGAAACGGUAGCUAAUACCGCAUAAUGUCGCAAGACCAAAGAGGGGGACCUUCGGGCCUCUUGCCAUCGGAUGUGCCCAGAUGGGAUUAGCUUGUUGGUGGGGUAACGGCUCACCAAGGCGACGAUCCCUAGCUGGUCUGAGAGGAUGACCAGCCACACUGGAACUGAGACACGGUCCAAACUCCUACGGGAGGCAGCAUG
RNAcentral lists this ribosomal RNA (256 nucleotides) under uncultured bacterium. Its description in RNAcentral is "partial 16S ribosomal RNA". It matches the Rfam family "Bacterial small subunit ribosomal RNA", at positions 96 to 353 of the family's 1533-position model. The record is from RNAcentral.